RNA transcript from Apus apus (common swift), 1423 nucleotides. It is a transcript of the gene named reticulon 4 interacting protein 1, with no coding region annotated. The record is from RefSeq and is a predicted model, not a curated record. Lineage: Eukaryota; Metazoa; Chordata; Aves; Apodiformes; Apodidae. The transcript has 10 exons.
AUGCUGCGGCGGGGGGCGGCGGGAGGGCGGGCGCUGGCUGGGCUGGGGGUCCCGGCUGGGCUGGGGGUCCCGGCUGGGCUGGGGGUCCCGCCGCCUUCCCGCGGCCUCCGCGCCUCUCCCCGGGCGCGGUCCUCCAUGCCCUCUUGGGUGAUCGACCGGUACGGCCCCAACGAGGUGCUGCGCUUCACCAGGGACAUGGUGUUCCCCGUCAUACACUUCCCGAACGAGGUCAUCCUGAAGGUGCACGCCGCCAGCCUGAACCCCAUCGACCUCAGCAUGAGAAGUGGUUACGGGGCAACUGCCUUAAAUAUGAAGCGGGAUCCCCUGAAACUCAAAAGUGCGGACACUGAGUUUCCUCUAACCCUUGGUCGAGAUGUCUCUGGUGUUGUUAUGGAAUGUGGACUUAGUGUGUCUUAUUUCAAACCUGGAGAUGAGGUGUGGGCAGCAAUUCCCCCGUGGAAACAGGGCACUCUGUCAGAGUUUGUUGUUGCUAGUGGAAAUGAGGUGUCUUUUAAGCCAAGGUGUCUCAGUCACACAGAAGCUGCCUCCUUACCUUACGUAGGUCUCACAGCCUGGUCUGCAGUUAACCAAGUUGGAGGACUGAACCGAAAUAAUUGUGGUGGGAAAAGAGUAUUAAUAUUAGGAGCUUCAGGAGGAGUUGGUACGUUUGCUGUACAGCUGGUGAAGGCCUGGGGUGCUCACGUGACAGCAGUUUGUUCUCAUGAUGCCAGCACACUGGUGAAAAAGCUCGGAGCAGAUGAUGUGAUUGAUUACAAAUCUGGAAAUCUGGAAGAGCAACUUAAAACUUUACCCCUAUUUGAUUUCAUCCUGGAUAAUGUUGGUGGAUCGACGGAGAAGUGGGCUCUAGAUCUCCUGAAGAAAUGGUCAGGAGCAACAUAUGUUACCUUGGUGACACCUUUUCUGAUCAAUAUGGACAAACUUGGAGUGGCUGAUGGGAUGUUACAAACAGGAGUCACUGUUGGUUCCAAAACUGUAAAGCAUCUCUUGAAAGGAGUCCAUUAUCGGUGGGCGUUUUUUAUGCCAAGUGGCCCAAGUUUGGAUGAAAUAGCAGAACUUGUUGAUUCUGGAAAGGGGUUCACUUAUUCCUACUGUUCUGCCACAUAAAAUCUCACACUACUGUUAACUUUGCCUUCACAAAAUAGAAAGGAAACUCCAGUGCCGGGAUGAGGAGAUACUGCAGAGUAAUAGUUAGAUUACUGUUGUCUUGGGUUACUGUUCUCAUAGAAGCAAACCCAGCAGUUAUUUUAGUGCAAUGACUGGGCUUCAAGAUCCAACCAGUUAUUGAUGAAGUCUUCUCUUUUUCUGAAGUUCCAAAGGCCUUUCUGAAACUGGAAAGAGGACACGCACGUGGAAAAACAGUGAUCAAUGUAAUUAGUAAAAAAUAAAGUAUUUCUAAUCAUUA